GAGGGUAUAGCUCAGUGGUAGAGUGAGUGCUUAGCAUGCAUGAGGUCCUGUGUUGAUCCUCAGUACCUCCA
RNAcentral lists this transfer RNA (71 nucleotides) under Camelus bactrianus (Bactrian camel). It matches the Rfam family "tRNA". From Rfam's summary of the family: Transfer RNA (tRNA) molecules are approximately 80 nucleotides in length. RNAcentral also lists the same sequence under 2 other names. The record is from Rfam by way of RNAcentral. Lineage: Eukaryota; Metazoa; Chordata; Mammalia; Artiodactyla; Camelidae.